CCUACGGGUGGCAGCAGUGGGGAAUAUUGCACAAUGGGCGAAAGCCUGAUGCAGCAACGCCGCGUGAAGGAAGAAGGGUUUCGGCUCGUAAACUUCUAUCAACAGGGACGAAAGAAAUGACGGUACCUGAAUAAGAAGCCCCGGCUAACUACGUGCCAGCAGCCGCGGUAAUACGGAGGAUGCGAGCGUUAUCCGGAUUUAUUGGGUUUAAAGGGUGCGCAGGCGGAAGAUCAAGUCAGCGGUAAAAUUGAGAGGCUCAACCUCUUCGAGCCGUUGAAACUGGUUUUCUUGAGUGAGUGAGAAGUAUGCGGAAUGCGUGGUGUAGCGGUGAAAUGCAUAGAUAUCACGCAGAACUCCGAUUGCGAAGGCAGCAUACCGGCGCUCAACUGACGCUCAUGCACGAAAGUGUGGGUAUCGAACAGGAUUAGAUACCCGGGUAGUC
Molecule: ribosomal RNA, 442 nt
Filed under: uncultured bacterium
Lineage: Bacteria
Description: partial 16S ribosomal RNA
Rfam family: Bacterial small subunit ribosomal RNA
Source: RNAcentral